CAGGAUGAACGCUAGCGGCAGGCUUAACACAUGCAAGUCGAGGGGCAUCGGGAGUAGCAAUACUGCCGGCGACCGGCGCAAGGGUGCGUAACGCGUGAGCAACAUGCCCGUAUCAGGGGGGAUAAUCCAUGGAAACGUGGUCUAAUACCCCAUAGUAAUUAUGUAAGGCAUCUUAUAUAAUUUAAAGCUUUGGUGGAUACGGAUUGGCUCGCGUGACAUUAGCUGGAUGGUAAGGUAACGGCUUACCAUGGCUACGAUGUCUAGGGGUUCUGAGAGGAAGGUCCCCCACACUGGAACUGAGACACGGUCCAGACUCCUACGGGAGGCAGCAGUGAGGAAUAUUGGACAAUGGAUGGAAAUCUGAUCCAGCCAUGCCGCGUGCAAGGAAGACGGCCCUAUGGGUUGUAAACUGCUUUUGUAUGGGAGCAAUAAGGGCUACGUGUAGUCCGAUGAGAGUACCAUACGAAUAAGCACCGGCUAACUCCGUGCCAGCCGCGGC
This 499-nucleotide ribosomal RNA is filed under the name uncultured bacterium. RNAcentral's name for it is "bacterial SSU rRNA". It matches the Rfam family "Bacterial small subunit ribosomal RNA", at positions 25 to 518 of the family's 1533-position model. The record is from RNAcentral.